UACGUAGGUGGCGAGCGUUAUCCGGAUUUAUUGGGUGUAAAGGGCGUGUAGGCGGGAAUGCAAGUCAGAUGUGAAAACUAUGGGCUCAACCCAUAGCCUGCAUUUGAAACUGUAUUUCUUGAGUGCUGGAGAGGCAAUCGGAAUUCCGUGUGUAGCGGUGAAAUGCGUAGAUAUACGGAGGAACACCAGUGGCGAAGGCGGAUUGCUGGACAGUAACUGACGCUGAGGCGCGAAAGCGUGGGGAGCAAACAGG
This 253-nucleotide ribosomal RNA is filed under the name uncultured bacterium. RNAcentral's name for it is "partial 16S ribosomal RNA". It matches the Rfam family "Bacterial small subunit ribosomal RNA", at positions 524 to 776 of the family's 1533-position model. The record is from RNAcentral.